Molecule: long non-coding RNA, 2683 nt
Organism: Nicotiana tabacum (common tobacco)
Lineage: Eukaryota; Viridiplantae; Streptophyta; Magnoliopsida; Solanales; Solanaceae
Source: RefSeq, a predicted model, not a curated record
ACCCUAAACCAAUUUCCGUACACCUCUAAGCUAGACGCACCCCCCUUCUGAUUUUUCAAUCUCUUUUCUCUCAACUGGAGGAGACAAAAAACGGACACCACACAAAAAGGGAACAAAAAUCACCUUAGAGCUAAGGCAAAAAUGGAGCUGCUCUUCUUUUUCCUCCUCAAAAAGCAGCCACAAAUUUCAUCUUAAACCACCCAAACUCAUGUCAGUAAAUACCCAUAAAUUCACUGUCAAAAUAGUCUUAAACCACCCCAAAUUAGUCCUUCUCCUUCAUCCAAAAUCAGCUCCUUAAAGCUCACAAAAACAGCCCCCAAACUAGCCUAUAAAACGAGCCAAAAACCAUUUCAAAAAAUACUCAAAAAUAGCAGGGAAAAACAGUACCAAACGGUCCUAAAAUUGGCCUGAAAUUACCCAAAAUAGCUCCAAGCACGAGCUGAAAAGCACCUCCCAAACCCAGCUGGAAAACAGCCCCCAAAAGCCCUAAAUUUCAGCCAAAAACUGACCCCUUUACGCACAAAAAACAACAGCCUCAAGGUUGAGCUCGAGUCCGUCGAGGUCGGCAUGGAAGUUCUCCGAUCGAUGGUUCCUGCUGGUUGAGUUCACUUGUUGCUCAUUUUGGUCGUUGUCUCAUUUGGUCUAUUGAGUUACAAGCUCUCAACUUCAGAUUCAUUAAUAAAGUCCUUAAAAGAAGACUUACAAAACUAGCACUGUUGAUGCAAACUCAUCUGCCAUACUGCGGGCAAAAGAAGUUCCAGCAAAUUUGCCCUCUCAAUUUCCUAGUUUUGUCAAGUAUAUGCUCCAUUCACAUGUCAGUCGUGGACUUUGGUUGUUGUUUGUAGAAGCGGGUUCGAGGUCGGAGCUCAAUAGUGCAUCUAAGAUCCGCACCUCAGUUCACUGCCCUGCAAAAGGUCGGUAUCUUUCUUCUUGUUUCGCUUCUGGAAUUUUAGUGUUUUAAUGUUUCAGUAUCUAGUUGGCAAUGAGCUCUUAAUUUAUUUAUUUUUUGAUUAAUUAUCUGGGAUGUUUCUUGUCGAUUUCUGAUUAGUUAAUAUGGAUGAAAGGCUCGUAUGCUCUGUUGUAAAAGAAAUACUAACUUUUAUAGGUUAACUGAUGUAUAUUUCCUUAUUAUAAGGUUACCCGGCCUUAGAUUUUGUUUGAAACUUAGAGACCAUGCUUAUAAAAUUUAAUUAGCUCUGAGCUAGUCGCAAUCAGUCCCUUUUAGUUACUGUCGAAAGCAAAUAAUACAAUACAAGCCAAGUAAUCCUCUCUUAUUGUUACACUAGGCUGAAGGCUUAUUUAUAGUGUUUGCACCUGUUAGUGACCUGUUAUGACUGGAGAAUUUCAUGUGUUUUAACGGAACUGAUUUUCGAGAUCCUUUCUUAAGAUGGUGUCAUUGAAGUAUAGAAAAUGUGGCUAUAAGUUAGUUUGGUUUACCGGACAAAAUAUCUACUAUAGAUUUUGACAUAAGGUUCUCUUCAUGUUAUAACUUAAUAAAGAUCUAAGCUAAAUGACCAUUAAACAAUAGUAGUGUUUAGUCUCGUUGAAAUCUCGCCAUAUAGACUUAUCUAGGGAUCGCAUUUGCUGUUAUUGUUUGGCCUAAACAUAUGAACAUUUAUCCCCUUUCAUGUUUGUACCUGAAACACCAACUUGUGAAGCCUUCAUGGAUCUUUUAUAGUUUGUUUGUUAAGAUCCUUAAUUAAAAACUCAUGCUUAUGUGGUGUGCUUGUUUGUAAAAUACAAGAAGCUCUUCACUGUUUCUCAUAACUGAUCCAUGUAAGCAACCUCCACUUCCAAUCAAGAGGUUGUGAGUUCGAGUCUCCCCAAGAGCAAGGUGAGAAGUUCUUGGAUGGAAAGAUGUCGGGGGUCUAUUAGGAAAUAGCCUCUCUACUCCAGGAUAGGGGUAAGGUUUGAGUACACACUACCCUCCCCAGACCCCACUAAGUGAGAUUAUAUUGGGUUGUUGUUGUUGUUGUUGAUCCACGUGUGUGUCCUCCUAUUCGUAGCAUUGAUGUUGUCUUUAUUACAUGUAGUAUGAUUGUCUAAUUAUGAUGUAGAUGAAACCCGUUAGCAUGUGUUUAUUAAAUAACCUUGUAAUUUUUUGCUGUCGUAAUCUCUUAUACCUUUAAGAAUUAAGUUUAAGUGUUGUUAAUGGCUUAAAGAAGUGUAAAUCCCACUUUGUUUGUUAGGUUGAUCUAAAAGGGAAAAACUUCAAAAAGGCACUUAGAGCGCUAUUUUAAAAUGGAAUUGCUUAUAUGUAGCAUACUACUGUUUGUUUCGUUCUAUUUCGUGGAAUAUUUCAGAUUUGAGGAGAUAAUUGUCAUUCUUGACUUGUAUGUUUUAUCGUCACAUAUAAUAAAAAUUAAGUUUUUCUCUAAUUCUCUUUUCUUCUUCUUUCCUUUUGCAUAUAUACGUGGAGCAAAAAAUGGAGUCUCACUCGAGACUCAGCACUACCCGAGCAUGGAGUCAUCAUAUCGCAUAUUCCUAUAAAUGCACCGGAUAGGGAAAAAACAAGCGAAAGCGUUCUUUUUUUUGUGUUAUCAUUCAUUUUAUCUAUCUUCUUUUUAUGGUUUAUUUAUUUGUGUGUUUGGGAUUUGUCUUACACUUAGCAUAAGAUUAACAGUGAAGUCUAUUUAAUCAUCCAGGAUCCUGGUCUUAUUAUUAAUAAACCUUUUUUUCAUCA